This is a long non-coding RNA of Manis pentadactyla (Chinese pangolin), 1114 nucleotides long. RefSeq lists it as uncharacterized. Lineage: Eukaryota; Metazoa; Chordata; Mammalia; Pholidota; Manidae. The record is from RefSeq and is a predicted model, not a curated record. The transcript is spliced from 5 exons.
CUAGAGCGGAACAUCGAGAGGUGUGCGGGCUAUCGGAGCGUGCGUAGACGGAAGGCUGUGGGCCUGGGCGCCAUCUUGGAUGGUGGACCGGAGACUUCGUCUUAGGGGCUCUCGGAUGUAGCUGCGGCCGGCGCCAUGGGAAAUCCAGCUGCUGUAUUGUGAGGCAGCCCUGUGGACAAGUCCCUGCACAGGAAUGGGGAGGCCUGCCAAGAGCCCUGUGAAUGAGCCUCAAAAGGGUCACCACACUGUUGAAUCUGGAGGUGACUGCAGCCCUUCUCAACAGCUCGACUACAGGGUCGUGUGAGUCCUGAGCCAGAAUCAAAUGGUCUUUUCAGGUCAGAGGAAAUAAGGUCACAGAAGCCAUGAAACAAGUACCUGCAGGGGAUGAGGACAGAGGCAAAGGCACUAGAACAGCAAACACAGCUGCAGGGCUCACCACCUGAUUUCAAGACAGGUGAUACUCAUGAAGUGAUAAAUACAUGGGUGAACAACACAGAGAAGAGAGCCCAGCAGUAGACCCCCACAAACACACCCAUUUGAUUUGUGACAAAGGAGCAAAAGCAAUUCCAUGGAGGAAGGAGUCUUUUCAAUCAAUGGUGCUAGAACUGUGUACCCAUAAGCUAAAGAAUAAACCUCAAUGCAUACCUCAAAAUGGAUCCCAGACCUCAAGACCUUUCCUGCUGGUUGCAGAGAUUCCUGUGAGCUUCAUCACAUCCACAGAAAAACAGCUGCUGGAAGAAGACACAUAACUCACCUGGGACCUAAUCAUUUUCUGCUGCUCGUGGAAAAUCUGCUCUGUUCUGUGACUUCUCUCUGUCCUGAUGCUUUGGAGAAAGACCUCUGGUCAAAGGAACUCAGGCAAGUUGUUUGCUAGACUCAAAUCAGGACUAGUGGUUAAGAAACAGCAUAGAAGGUGAGCUCCUGGCAUGUCUCAUUGAGCUGGACCACAUCUGGGCCAGAUCUGCACCACACACUACACUCUACAGCCCUGGCUCCCACCUGUGAAUGACAGAGUGAAGCCCCUUGCCUCACUGGUUCAACGGGAGAAGCACCACACCAAUCCUCUCUGCAGAAGACAUCAACCAUGUCUGGAAAUACAGUCUUGGCUCUCUCA